Cyprinus carpio (common carp) is the source of this 1386-nucleotide long non-coding RNA. RefSeq lists it as uncharacterized. The transcript has 3 exons. Lineage: Eukaryota; Metazoa; Chordata; Actinopteri; Cypriniformes; Cyprinidae. The record is from RefSeq and is a predicted model, not a curated record.
CACCCAGAACCAUUGCAAAGCUGAGAAUAGAUUACAGGACAGUAUUUUAUGAAAAUAAAAUAAAAUAAAAUAAAAUAAAAUAAAAUAAAAUAAAAUAAAAUAAAAUAAUAACAAAAAGAAUUUCAAUAAGAAAGUAGUUUCUAUACAUGACUGAUAAUUAACAUUAAUAAAAUUUACAGGUGAAUAUUGAUUCAGUUAUUGAUUGUGUGGUACAUUUACUUAACUAUGAAAAUUAUUUCAAUAAUAACUUAAUUAAUAACAUUACACUUCAGCCACUCAGGCCAUCAUUUUGUUAGCAUCACAAUGUUGACACUUUGAGAGGAAAUCAUUUGUCAGAUGUUCUACAAUUGUAUUUGCACACUGAACAGAGAAUGUAUUUAAACAUGUUAAAAACAAUUCCUCACAGCAUCACAAUUUUUUAGCGUCUAUCCCCCACUCACUAAUGAAACUCUCUUCACAGAACAAACAACAUUUGUACGGUGUCAGAAAACAAGCCUUUCUCCAAACCUAAUAUGCCAUCACCAAAGAGUGAGCCAAAAUCCUCAGGUUAUGAUCAUGAGGCUGUUUACUCCAACAUGGAAGAUCUCAACAUAUAUGGAAAUAUCUGAUGAUAAUGAACAACACAAAGUGUGUGUGUGUUUUUGUGUGUGUGUUUUAAAUGCUUAAAAUAAUAUUAAUCAGAUUGUAUGCUUUCAAAUGAAAUCACUAUUUUUUUAGUCUGUAACUGGUAUUGACUGAUUUUAUUAAUGUUGUUGUGUCUUUUCUACUCUGCCAUUUAUCAACACUUUGCAGCAUAUUUGUGUGAAAACAUAACUAUAAAUAUAAAAGUUAUAUCCAUUUAUCAGUUUAUUUAUCAAUUUCAUUAUCCUUAUCAGUAUCAUACUGCAUAUUUUACAUUAAGUUUGUAAAAUAUGCAGUAAUGUAGCAUUGUUGUUGGAAAACAAAUUUGCACCUUUGUAUAAAAUUCUUACACUGUUACCAGUAUUGACAGCAAUCUGCAUGAACAGAUUGUGAUGAAACCAAAUGUUUUUAGAAAUAAUAAUCUUUGUAACAAUGAUUGUUAAAGGAAACGAGUAUAACCCCAAUCAGGCACAACAGAAUGAAUGAUUAGCAGUGUUACUGUCUUGACUGGUUAGGCAGGAGGAAUAGAAGCUGAUCUAAAUGCAACUCUUUCACUUUAUUUAUCAAACAACACCAUACACUGAACUAAGCAGACCGAGGGCAAAAAGUAAAAUGGCUAAUGAGAACAAAACUAGAAACAGGUGUGCAACAUAAUCAGGAAUGACAACAAAUGGGUAUCAGGAACAAAUGAAACAUGAGAAACUAAAGUUUUGUACUUUGUUUUUAAAUUUACCACUUGUAUAUUAUAAAGACCUCUCUUGUCAG